UAAAAUAAGAAAUAAGAUAAAGCACUCACUCCGAAUGUAAUGUUAGCGCUUCGUGUAUGACAAACUGUAUUCUGAUAGCUAUAUUGGGUUUUACAUUGAUUUUCGGUGUUUCAGAUAGUCUUAGAUUUUCAGUGAGUCUUGCUCAGCCAUAGAGAAUGUCAGCCGGCAUACAAUGAAAAGCUUUGUGGUACUGACGGUAGAACAUACCGCAAUUUUUGCGAAUACGAAAAGGCGAGAUGUACACACAGAGAUCUUCACGUUGCCAAAUUUGGAGACUGCAAUGCUUAAUUUUGAAAUGCAUAUUGUAUAGUUUUAGACAUUCAAUAUAGAUCAAAGAAAUGCUAA
Ruditapes philippinarum (Manila clam) is the source of this 345-nucleotide long non-coding RNA. RefSeq lists it as uncharacterized. The transcript has 2 exons. The record is from RefSeq and is a predicted model, not a curated record. NCBI's taxonomy places the organism in Eukaryota, Metazoa, Mollusca, Bivalvia, Venerida, Veneridae.